AUGGGCUCCAGGCUCCUCUGCUGUGUGGCUCUUUGUCUCCUGGGAGCAGGCCCAGUGGAUUCUGGAGUCAUCCAAACCCCAAGACACCUGAUCAAAGCAAAAGGACAGCAAAUGACACUGAGAUGUUCCCCUAUAUCUACAUAUCCCUAUGUGUACUGGUACCAACAGGUUCUUGGCCAGGGACCCUGGUUCCUCAUUCAGUAUUACGAUGAGAAAGAGAAUGACAGAGGAGAGAGCUCAGAUCGAUUCUCAGGGCAUCAGUUCAGUAACUAUAGCUCUGAGCUGAACGUGAGUGUCUUGGAGCUGGUGGACUCUGCCCUAUAUCUCUGUGCCAGCAGCUUGGCACAGCCCUGCAUGAUCAGCAGCCUACAGAACAAAAACAUUCCUGUCCCAGCUCAGGAAAUGACACCAAGGGUGGCGGCUGCCAGACAGACAGACUCAGCCCCUCAUAUAUCAGACAGGCUUUCCCCUGACACUCUUCCUGCUGUUUCUGAGGUCAUCGGCAGCUCCGAGCAGCCAUCAGCUUGUCACAGAGAAAGGUCAGUCACAGAUGUGAGGUUGCUCUGCUUGGUGAUGUCCAGCCCGAAACCCUGGAAGCAAGUGCUCUGGCAAAUCUGA
Equus quagga is the source of this 618-nucleotide non-coding RNA. NCBI's taxonomy places the organism in Eukaryota, Metazoa, Chordata, Mammalia, Perissodactyla, Equidae. The record is from the annotation of a RefSeq genome assembly.